RNAcentral lists this transfer RNA (127 nucleotides) under Pinus koraiensis (Korean pine). Its description in RNAcentral is "tRNA-Met". The stretch from base 55 to 127 matches the Rfam family "tRNA". From Rfam's summary of the family: Transfer RNA (tRNA) molecules are approximately 80 nucleotides in length. Their secondary structure includes four short double-helical elements and three loops (D, anti-codon, and T loops). Lineage: Eukaryota; Viridiplantae; Streptophyta; Pinopsida; Pinales; Pinaceae. The record is from RNAcentral. RNAcentral also lists the same sequence under 2 other names.
UUUAAUUCGAUUUAGAAUCGUUUAGAAAUCCAAUUCUACCUAUGAGAAUAAAUGACCCACUUAACUCAGUGGUUAGAGUAUCGCUUUCAUACGGCGAGAGUCAUUGGUUCAAAUCCAAUAGUAGGUA